CCCGCCCCAGACGACGCCCCCGAGCCGGCUAGCCCUUGGCUCCGACCCUCGCCGAACAGGCUGGUUGAUUCUGUCUGUUUUUCCUCUCGGGAAAGGUGCAGCACUCCAGCGAUGCCUCGGAGGAAGGAUCCUGGUCUCUGCUCAGGAGAAACACCCACACUAGGAAAGCUAUCUCCCUUCAAGGGAACUCGGAAGGGAGUUACAAGAAGUGGGCGCUGGAGACUGGCUCGGAAGGAGCUGUCUUUGGGCAGGGUUGCCAACCAGUGCUGGACUCUUACCUCGCGUGGCAUGACAUCACCUCCUCGUCAAGUUGUUACAGGCCAUUGUCUCAGCCCCAGACAAUACAGUCUUGGCGCCGCCUACCCCAUGACGCUCUCAGCUGCUUCAAGGCCCAUAACAGGAUGGAAACUGAGGCACAGCCCUGCCCUCCUUUGUAGCCCCGUAUUGUCUACUCGCACACCCAACGGUGUGUGCACCCAACACAGGGCCGACACCAGACUAGAGCAGAGGGCAGCAGGGGGCCCAGAGGCAAGCGCUCAACCUAACAGAAGACUCACACAUCUGCGCAUCGAGCAAGGGGUGUAGUAAGAAGUCCAGUUUCGAAAGCCUCGGCAUGGAGCUGUGUCUUCAGCCCAUGAGCCAACUACUGCUGACAGAAUCCAAAUGGAAUCACUGUCAAAACCCUACUCAAAUGAGGCUGAGGAUGAUGAUACCAGCCUCUAAUCUCAACACUUGGAAGCCUGUGGCAUUGGGAUUGCUCGUCAGCCUGGAGUACAUGGUGAGUUGCAAGCCAGUUAGGGGUACCUAGGGAGACCCUGUCACAAGAGAAACCUGCCUAGGGCCGGGGAGAUGGCUCAGAAGGUAAAAGUGCUAGCUGCACAAACCCGAGGACCCUAAUUUGAUACCUGGAACCAUGUAAGAGGCUGCAUUCUGUGGCAUGUGGCUGUAAUCCUAGUGCUCCUGUGGCUGAGAUGCUAGGCAGACAGGAGGAGCCAGCUAGCCUAUAGUAGACCACCUCUCUACUUGAAGUCUCUCGACAAGGGCACCUUAGCCUUGAUUGUGCUCUAAGGAGCAAACAGUCAGAGACAGGAAGUGCACUCAAUUUUUAUUCUAAUACAGGUGGUGAUAAAGAACCAGCCUGCCUCCAUCUUAGGCUUAAAAGCCAUCUUUUUCUUUCUUCCUUUUUUCUUUUUAAGGCUUAUUUAUUUAUUAUGUAUAGUGUUCUGCCUGCAUGUAUCCUUGCAAGCCAGAAGGAAGGUACCAGAUUCCAUUGGAGAUGUUUGUGAGCCACCAUGUGGUUGCUGGGAAUUGAAAUCAGAACCUCUGGAAGAACAGUCAGUGCUCUUAACCUCUGAGCCACUUCUCCAACCCUAAAAGCCAUCUUAUAAUAAAGACAAACUAGGUUCAUUCCUGUUUAUGAUUAAACCUGUUUCUCAAGGAUUGAACUGUGCCCUACUUGUCACCUUGACUACACAUGGUUCUGUGCUGCCUGUUCAAGGAAUGGCAAUCCUGUCUUUGUUUCAAAAAGUUGUUUAUAACCAUCUUGCAAUCCUACUUUUGUUUCAAAAGGUUAUCUGACCCCCUAUGACCACCUUGUUAUGCCCACCUGUUGUUUUGACUUUCUUGUUAUGCCCACCAUGCAACCACAUCCUUGUUUAAGGAGGUCACUAGGACUAACUGGCUAUGUUUGUGUUCUGCUCCUGUAACCCCUGUUUUGCCUGCCAAAUCCCCCAUUCGGGAAACCCCCUACCCUUGAGCUAUAAAAGCCUUAUCUUCCUCACAUCCAGUGGUGACCUCUUGAAUCUCACCUUAAGGGUUGACAGCCCCUAUUCAGAAAUAAAACGUUU
Myodes glareolus (Bank vole) is the source of this 1847-nucleotide non-coding RNA. NCBI's taxonomy places the organism in Eukaryota, Metazoa, Chordata, Mammalia, Rodentia, Cricetidae. The record is from RefSeq and is a predicted model, not a curated record.